UUCGAUCGUAGCUCCAGAUUGAACCUUUGGCGGGACUUACAUGCAAGUCGAACGGCAGCACGGACUUACCGGUCUGGUGGCGAGUGGCGAACGGGUGAGUAAUGUAUCGGAACGUGCCUAGUAGCGGGGGAUAACUACGCAGCGUAGCUAAUACCACAUACGCCCUUCGGGGGAAAGCGGGGACCUUCGGGCCUCGCACUAUGGAAGCGGCCGAUAUCAAGUUAGCUAGUUGGUGGGGUAACGGCUCACCAAGGCGACGAUCCGUAGCUGGUUUGAGAGAGGACGACCAGCCACACUGGGACUGAGACACGGCCCAGACUCCUACGGGGAGGCAGCAGUGGGGAAUUUUUGGACAAUCGGAAACCCUGAUCCAGCCAUCCCGCGUGGCGCGAUGAAGGCCUUCAGGUUGUAAAGCACUUGCAGCGGAAAGAAGCAGCUGCGGGAUAAUACCCCGUGCAACUGACCGAUACCUGCAGAAUAAGCACCGGCUAACUACGUGCCGUAGCCCGCGGUAAUACGUAGUUCAAGCGUUAAUCGGAAUUACUGGGCGUAAAGCGUGCGCAGGCGGUUCCGGAAGAAGAUGUAAAUCCCGAGCUUAACUUUGGAACUACAUUUAACUACGAGCUGAAGUGUGUCAGAGGAGGUGGAAUUCGCGUCUUAGCAGUGAAAUGCGUAGAUAUGCGGAGGAACACCGAUGGCGAAGGCAGCCUCCUGGGAUAACACUGACGCUCAUGCACGAAAGCGUGGGGAGCAAACAGGAUUAGAUACCUGGUAGUCCACGCCCUAAACGAUGUCAACUAGCUGUUGGGGCCUUCCGGGCCUUGGUAGCGCAGCUAACGCGUGAAGUUGACCGCCUGGGAGUACCGGUCGCAAGAUUAAACUCAAAGGUGACGAGGACCCGCACAAGCGGUGGAUGAUGUGGAUUAAUUCGAUGCAACGCGAAAAUAACCGCCACCCUUGACAUGUCUGAAUCCCGAAAGAGAUUUGCAGAGUGCUCGCAAGAGAACCGGAACACAGGUGCUGCAUGGCUGUCGUCAGCUCGUGUCGUGAGAUGUUGGGUUAAGUCCCGCAACGAGCGCAACCCUUGUCAUUAGUUGCUACGAAAAGGGCACUCUCUAAUGAGACUGCCGGUGAUAAACCGGAAGGUGAGGAUGACGUCAGUGCCUCGCAUUGCCAUGGGUAGGGCUUCACAAUAUGCAAUGGUCGGGACAGAGGGUCGCCAACCGCGAGGGGGAGCCAAUCCCGAAACCCGAUCGUAGUCGGAUCGCAGUCUGCAACUCGACUGCGUGAAGUCGGGGAAAUCGCCUGAUAAUCGCGGAUCAGCAUAUGUCGCGGUGAAUACGUUCCCGGGUCUUGUACACCGCCCGUCACACCAUGGGAGUGGGUUUUACCAGAAGUAAUUAUUUAACACCGUAAGGAGGGCGAUUACCACAGUAGGAUUCAUGACUGGGGUGAAGUCGUAACAAACCAAGCCUGUUACUGCAAUUCUCCCAG
This 1494-nucleotide ribosomal RNA is filed under the name uncultured Bordetella sp. RNAcentral describes it as "partial 16S-23S ribosomal RNA intergenic spacer". It matches the Rfam family "Bacterial small subunit ribosomal RNA". Lineage: Bacteria; Pseudomonadati; Pseudomonadota; Betaproteobacteria; Burkholderiales; Alcaligenaceae. The record is from RNAcentral.